GCUCAAUGAUUUUUUAAAUUGCUGUAGUAUUUUGACUAUACAAAGGUAUUGUAAUAAGGUUUUAAAUGGAUGCUAAGAGAAUGAUCGGACAAAGAUUUUCUUUCUUAGGGAAAAUAUUGGAAGUUGGUUUUUAAGUGAAAAAACUUAAAUUUUAUUUUGGGACAAGAAGACCCUAUGAAUUUUUAUUAAAUUUUAACUUGUUGAAGGUUUAAUUUUAGUUUGGUUGGGGCGAUUUUUAAAGAUUGAGAAUCUUUAAAAUUAAAAAUUGAUCCAUUUUUAGUGAUUUUAUGAAAAAAAUACUCUAGGGAUAACAGCGUUAUUAUUUUGGAUAGUUCAUAUUGAUAAAAUUGAUUGCGACCUCGAUGUUGGAUUAGGAUACUUUUAUAAUGAAGAUGUUAUAAAAAGGAGUUUGCUCAACUUUUAAUAUCCUACUUGAUCUGAGUUCAGACCGGUC
Molecule: ribosomal RNA, 454 nt
Filed under: Argas sp.
Lineage: Eukaryota; Metazoa; Arthropoda; Arachnida; Ixodida; Argasidae
Description: partial large subunit ribosomal RNA
Rfam family: Bacterial large subunit ribosomal RNA (bases 130-454)
Source: RNAcentral